CGUAACAAGGUCUCCGUUGGUGAACCAGCGGAGGGAUCAUUACAGAGUUAUCAAAACUCCCAAACCCAUGUGAACAUACCUCGCGUUGCCUCGGCAGGUGGCGUCUCGCCCCGUAAGAACCUACCCUGUAGGAACGUACCCGGUAGACGACCCUGCCGACGGCCCCCGAAACUCUGUUUUAUAGCAUUAAACUUCUGAAAACAUAACUAAAUAAGUUAAAACUUUCAACAACGGAUCUCUUGGUUCUGGCAUCGAUGAAGAACGCAGCGAAAUGCGAUAAGUAAUGUGAAUUGCAGAAUUCAGUGAAUCAUCGAAUCUUUGAACGCACAUUGCGCCCACUAGUAUUCUGGUGGGCAUGCCUGUUCGAGCGUCAUUUCAACCCUUAAGCCCCUGUUGCUUAGCGUUAGGAGCCUACCGGAACUCUCUGGUAGCUCCCCAAAGUCAGUGGCGGAGCCGGUUCGCACUCCAGACGUAGUAGCUUUUACACGUCGCCUGUAGCGCGGGCCGGUCCCCUGCCGUAAAACACCCCAAUUUUUAUAGGUUGACCUCGGA
RNAcentral lists this unclassified non-coding RNA (552 nucleotides) under Nemania serpens. RNAcentral describes it as "sequence contains 18S rRNA gene, ITS1, 5.8S rRNA gene, ITS2, 28S rRNA gene". The stretch from base 220 to 373 matches the Rfam family "5.8S ribosomal RNA". The record is from RNAcentral. Lineage: Eukaryota; Fungi; Ascomycota; Sordariomycetes; Xylariales; Xylariaceae.